UGAGUUGGAAGGGGCCGUGGGGGUGGGGCUGGGCUUCAGAACCUGGGGAACACCUGCUAAGAAGGAGGAGGAGGAGGAGGAGGAGGAGGAGGAGGAGGAGGAGGAGGAGGAGGAGGAGGAGGAGAAUGUCGAUGGGGGUGGCGUGACACAGGGAAUGGGAAGGUGGCCUUAUGCUGGGCGAAAUCCGUGCAAAAGAGAGAAAAAUCCUGGCUGAUCUCGUUUCUCUGUGCCAUGGGAAGGAGUAAGGACCAACGGAAUCAACACUCCAGCUAUGGUAAACCUGUGGACGGUCAAACCCCCAUAGUCCUGGAAGGCAAGCAUAAUGUCCAGGACGGGAGAGCAAACAAACACACGUCACACACCGAGAAGGAAAGCAACAGUCAUCCUCCUCCAGGAGGGAAACCUUUUUUAUACCUUGAGUUAUACCGCAUUUUGAGCCCCGGAAUUCGAAAGACGACUGUAUGAGUCAACUAGUGUAUAUAAAAGAGAGAAAGAGAAUAAAAGCAACAAAAAAAUAACAAAAUGAACACAAAAUUUAAAAAAAGUUUAAAAAUAAAUGGAAAAAAAAAAAAAAGUAAAUGAUAAAGGAAGAAGGAAAAGGAAGAACAAAGGGCAGCGGAGAGAGAAAAGGAGCUGCAGAAAUGAAUCCAAAGUUGCAGGAAGCCUAUGCCUUUCUAAAUGAGCUCGCUUUGGGUCUUGAGCAACGGCCCUGAAGGGAGAAAAGCAUAUGUGGCACUCUGCUGGCAUCUUUUGGUGCUAGGACCCUGAACGCUAGAAGAGUGUCCAGUGAGAACGAUAGAAAUUGGGGAGGACUCGCUGGAGCGCAAAGUUGAGGCAAGGGUUUAUUGUUGUCCGGGAGGGGUUGUCCUCAGGCAGGGGUCUGGGUCGGAGACCCCUAAAGGGGAGAGGUUCGGUGGGCAGACAUAUGUUUCCACACGUGUGUUAGGAUGUGAAUGGUGAGCCCACGGAAGUCCUGUGCAGCCGGCAUUUGUGUGCUGAACUCGGAAGCCCCGCAGUGAAUCUCUAGCGGGCAAGGCUGGAAGGCCCAAUGCCCCCGAAUCAUUUGCAUCCUGAGCCCUUUGGUCCAGGGGGUCAGGUCGGAAGUGCGUGUGGGGCCUCGUCAAGGGGAAUUCCCCGAGAAAAGUGUGGGUGGUUGGAUGGCGGGAGUGGGAGUGGGCACGCCCUCGGCCGCCUCAGCCAAUGAGGAGCCUGCACGCGGGGUGGGGCUGUGGGGAAGCCCCAAAGGCCCGAGGGGGCGGGGCCCAGGCCCUUUUCUGGAGCCGGACCGUCUGAGGGAAGGAGGCGUCGGCGUGCAGCUGCAGGUAGGAGAUGGAAACCCUCGUGGGCCUUGUGUGCAGAGCCCCGGGGGCUGCUUCUGAGCACGGGAGGUGUGUGUCCGUCUCCUUCGACGCCUUCCCGGAGGGCAAGGUUGUGGGCCCAGCGCCGCUGGUGCGGAUGCC
Bos grunniens (domestic yak) is the source of this 1460-nucleotide long non-coding RNA. The record is from Ensembl. Lineage: Eukaryota; Metazoa; Chordata; Mammalia; Artiodactyla; Bovidae.